This 301-nucleotide ribosomal RNA is filed under the name uncultured bacterium. Its description in RNAcentral is "partial 16S ribosomal RNA". It matches the Rfam family "Bacterial small subunit ribosomal RNA", at positions 509 to 807 of the family's 1533-position model. The record is from RNAcentral.
CAGCCGCCACGGGAAUACAGAGGGUGCGAGCGUUAAUCGGAUUUACUGGGCGUAAAGCGUGCGUAGGCGGCUUUUUAAGUCGGAUGUGAAAUCCCUGAGCUUAACUUAGGAAUUGCAUUCGAUACUGGGAAGCUAGAGUAUGGGAGAGGAUGGUAGAAUUCCAGGUGUAGCGGUGAAAUGCGUAGAGAUCUGGAGGAAUACCGAUGGCGAAGGCAGCCAUCUGGCCUAAUACUGACGCUGAGGUACGAAAGCAUGGGGAGCAAACAGGAUUAGAUACACCUGUAGUCCCUGUCUCUUAUAC